This 732-nucleotide unclassified non-coding RNA is filed under the name Centaurea josiae. RNAcentral's name for it is "partial external transcribed spacer". Lineage: Eukaryota; Viridiplantae; Streptophyta; Magnoliopsida; Asterales; Asteraceae. The record is from RNAcentral.
UGCGCAUCACCUCUUGCUUGUCUAGAUCAGCCCGGACGUUGGCAUGUGUAGCGUAUUUUGUCGGGUUUCGAGAUCAAGAAUCGAUGUCCCUUUGUUGGUUGGUUUUCCGAGAAUCCUUGACCCUUGAUUUGUUACUUUCGCAUCGUUUGGUGCAUGUUUUCCGAGAAUCCUUGACCCUUGAUUUGUUGCUUUCGCAUCUUUCGGUGCAUGUUUUCCGAGAAUCCUUGACCCUUGAUUUGUUACUUUCUCAUCGUUCGGUGCAUUCUGGGGGAUGUUUUGGCUUUUGGUGGCUUACUUGGACUUUUGGCUGGGUUUGUUGCUAUUGGUCGGGCGGCUUUCGGGAAUGUCGCCCGUGGAGGUGCAUGAGUGGUGUUUGGUUUGUUACGUGUGGAUGGCUGUUUGCUUGCGCAACAACGUUCACGCUGCAUACCUCUUCAGUUUUGCGGCAAGGCUUGGUUUGGCUUGUGCAUAUUGUGGGUUUCCUGUGUUGCAUACCUAGUUGAAGGAAAAGUGUGGGUUUUACGAUUUUCAUUUUCGUCUUGCGUCGUUCUUUCGGCAUGGGAUGAGCAAUGAAGCGAUCUUUAUGAUCCAUCGUGCUGUUGUGUUUGCAACAAUGAUGUGGCCUAUGAAGCAUCGUUUGGUCUCUUGUAUACGGAAGCUCAUUUGGGCUUGGGUCUUCAUAAGAUCUUCGUUAUGCCCUUGUUAAGCGUUCUCGCUUCUCCUAAACGAUUG